RNAcentral lists this long non-coding RNA (251 nucleotides) under Homo sapiens (human). Its description in RNAcentral is "HSALNT0326364". The record is from RNAcentral. Lineage: Eukaryota; Metazoa; Chordata; Mammalia; Primates; Hominidae.
CUCAGACCGCAGCGUCGGCCGAGAGGACGCCGGGAUACUGGCCAGCUCCAAGUCGAAAGGAAGCGACGCAUGAGUUGUUUGGUGCGAAUUUUAAACGGAAGAACGCAGAAGAAUUCUCUUUAUGUUACCUUUAUUUAGCAACAAAUCAACUUGACUCAACUGAUACUUACUGAGUGCCUUUAAAGAUGAGUCUGACUUCUGGCUAACUUUACACAAAAAAUGUACUGUAAAUUCAUGCUGAGAUCUGGGCA